GACGAACGCUGGCGGCGUGCUUAGCACAUGCAAGUCGAACGGUAAGGCCCUUCGGGGUACACGAGUGGCGAACGGGUGAGUAACACGUGGGUGCUCUGCCCUGCACUUCGGGAUAAGCCUGGGAAACUGGGGCUAAUACCGGAUAGGACUCCGGACUGCAUGGUCUGGGGUGGAAAGCUUUUGCGGUGUGGGAUGGGCCCGCGGCCUAUCAGCUUGUUGGUGGGGUGAUGGCCUACCAAGGCGACGACGGGUAGCCGGCCUGAGCGGGUGACCGGCGACACUGGGCCGGAGAGACGGCACAGACUCCUAGGGGAGGCAGCAGUGGGGAGUAUUGGACGGGGAGCGCAAGCCAGAUGCAGCGACGCCGCGUGAGGGAUGACGGCCUUCGGGUUGUAAACCUCUUUCAGCACAGACGAAGCGCAAGUGACGGUAUGUGCAGAAGAAGGACCGGCCAACUACGUGCCAGCCGCCGCAGUAA
This 478-nucleotide ribosomal RNA is filed under the name uncultured bacterium. Its description in RNAcentral is "partial 16S ribosomal RNA". It matches the Rfam family "Bacterial small subunit ribosomal RNA", at positions 28 to 523 of the family's 1533-position model. The record is from RNAcentral.